Vicia villosa (hairy vetch) is the source of this 436-nucleotide long non-coding RNA. RefSeq lists it as uncharacterized. The transcript has 2 exons. The record is from RefSeq and is a predicted model, not a curated record. NCBI's taxonomy places the organism in Eukaryota, Viridiplantae, Streptophyta, Magnoliopsida, Fabales, Fabaceae.
CAAACAAUAUUAUCGAUAAGAAGAAGAAGAAUAAAAAAAAGCUUUAUGGCUAAAAGCAGUGCUUCAGUUGUUCUAGCUGUCCUUGUUGUAGCAUUAUUUCUGAAUGGCUAUAAUGCUGCUGAGAAAGCAGGAGUAGUCACAGUUUGCGUUAGGCUGCAAGGAUGUAUUGAAGUAACCUGUUCCCUCUAUUGUGCGUUAAGACGUUAUUCUGGCGGCUAUUGUCCAAAGCCGUCUGAGUGUUGUUGCGGUGAAGGAGUUUGAGAGAUAUAUGUUUGAUAACUCUACAUUCUAUAUAUGAUUGUACAAGUAUAUUAACAAAACAGUCUUUAAGGUUCUUAUUAAAAUAAGUUGGAAAAAACACUAUUGUAAGUUCAAUUUCGAUGGAAUUUCCUAUAUUAAUAAUUGCCAGAAAUAAAGUAAAAUACCUUUGAUCUUA